Molecule: ribosomal RNA, 253 nt
Filed under: uncultured bacterium
Lineage: Bacteria
Description: partial 16S ribosomal RNA
Rfam family: Bacterial small subunit ribosomal RNA
Source: RNAcentral
UACGUAGGGUGCAAGCGUUGUCCGGAAUUAUUGGGCGUAAAGAGCUCGUAGGCGGUCUGUCGCGUCGGCUGUGAAAACCCGGAGCUCAACUCCGGGCCUGCAGUCGAUACGGGCAGACUGGAGUUCGGCAGGGGAGACUGGAAUUCCUGGUGUAGCGGUGAAAUGCGCAGAUAUCAGGAGGAACACCAAUGGCGAAGGCAGCUCGCUGGGACGGUACUGACGCUGAGGAGCGAAAGCGUGGGGAGCGAACAGG